UACGAAGGGGGCUAGCGUUGCUCGGAAUUACUGGGCGUAAAGGGCGCGUAGGCGGACAGUUUAGUCAGAGGUGAAAGCCCAGGGCUCAACCCUGGAAUUGCCUUUGAUACUGACUGUCUUGAGUACGGGAGAGGUGUGUGGAACUCCGAGUGUAGAGGUGAAAUUCGUAGAUAUUCGGAAGAACACCAGUGGCGAAGGCGGCUCACUGGUCCGGUACUGACGCUGAGGUGCGAAAGCGUGGGGAGCAAACAGG
This 253-nucleotide ribosomal RNA is filed under the name uncultured bacterium. Its description in RNAcentral is "partial 16S ribosomal RNA". It matches the Rfam family "Bacterial small subunit ribosomal RNA", at positions 524 to 776 of the family's 1533-position model. The record is from RNAcentral.